UAGAGUUUGAUCCUGGCUCAGGACGAACGCUGGCGGCGUGCCUAAUACAUGCAAGUCGAGCGAACAGAAAAGGAGCUUGCUCCUUUGACGUUAGCGGCGGACGGGUGAGUAACACGUGGGCAACCUACCUUAUAGUUUGGGAUAACUCCGGGAAACCGGGGCUAAUACCGAAUAAUCUCUUUUGCUUCAUGGUGAAAGACUGAAAGACGGUUUCGGCUGUCGCUAUAGGAUGGGCCCGCGGCGCAUUAGCUAGUUGGUGAGGUAACGGCUCACCAAGGCGACGAUGCGUAGCCGACCUGAGAGGGUGAUCGGCCACACUGGGACUGAGACACGGCCCAGACUCCUACGGGAGGCAGCAGUAGGGAAUCUUCCACAAUGGGCGAAAGCCUGAUGGAGCAACGCCGCGUGAGUGAAGAAGGUUUUCGGAUCGUAAAACUCUGUUGUAAGGGAAGAACAAGUACAGUAGUAACUGGCUGUACCUUGACGGUACCUUAUUAGAAAGCCACGGCUAACUACGUGCCAGCAGCCGCGGUAAUACGUAGGUGGCAAGCGUUGUCCGGAAUUAUUGGGCGUAAAGCGCGCGCAGGCGGUCCUUUAAGUCUGAUGUGAAAGCCCACGGCUCAACCGUGGAGGGUCAUUGGAAACUGGGGGACUUGAGUGCAGAAGAGGAAAGUGGAAUUCCAAGUGUAGCGGUGAAAUGCGUAGAGAUUUGGAGGAACACCAGUGGCGAAGCGACUUUCUGGUCUGUAACUGACGCUGA
Molecule: ribosomal RNA, 760 nt
Filed under: Lysinibacillus sp. enrichment culture clone VG-5 12.1
Lineage: Bacteria; Bacillati; Bacillota; Bacilli; Caryophanales; Bacillaceae
Description: bacterial SSU rRNA
Rfam family: Bacterial small subunit ribosomal RNA
Source: RNAcentral